GCCGAUGUAGCUCAACGGUAGAGCAGCGGAUUUGUAAUCCGUUGGUUGGAGGUUCAAGUCCUCUCAUCGGCUCCA
Molecule: transfer RNA, 75 nt
Filed under: Pseudomonadota bacterium
Lineage: Bacteria; Pseudomonadati; Pseudomonadota
Also listed under: 2 other names
Description: tRNA-Thr
Rfam family: tRNA
About the family: Transfer RNA (tRNA) molecules are approximately 80 nucleotides in length.
Source: RNAcentral